This 265-nucleotide long non-coding RNA is filed under the name Mytilus galloprovincialis (Mediterranean mussel). The record is from RNAcentral. Lineage: Eukaryota; Metazoa; Mollusca; Bivalvia; Mytilida; Mytilidae.
CACAGUGCUAAUUGUGACGCUAACACACAUUUUUGGAUAUAGAGCUUUCAUUGUAAUGUGUACUAGUGUUUGUCUGUUUGUCUUUGUAAGCCAUGGCGUUGUCAGUUUUUUUUUAUCUAUGCAUUUGACUAUCUGGUUUCUUUUGCCCCUCUUUUCUAGAAAAUAGUCCCAUACUUGCCGCCAAAUUAAAAAUAGCCACCAAUAGGCAAUAUGUCAGGUCCAAUAUAUUGGUGAACUUAAUAACUUUAUAGUAACAACAGGAAUU